GAUGAAGAACGUAGCGAAAUGCGAUAAGUAAUGUGAAUUGCAGAGUUCAGUGAAUCAUCGAAUCUUUGAACGCACAUUGCGCCCGCCAGCAUUCUGGCGGGCAUGCCUGUUCGAGCGUCAUUUCAACCCUCGACCUCCCUUUGGGGAAGUCGGCGUUGGGGACCGGCAGCACACCGCCGGCCCUGAAAUGGAGUGGCGGCCCGUCCGCGGCGACCUCUGCGUAGUAAUCCAACUCGCACCGGAACCCCGACGCGGCCACGCCGUAAAACACCCAACUUCUGAACGUUGACCUCGAAUCAGGUAGGACUACCCGCUGAACUUAAGCAUAUCAUAAGCGGAGGA
Molecule: unclassified non-coding RNA, 342 nt
Filed under: soil metagenome
Description: partial contains 5.8S ribosomal RNA, internal transcribed spacer 2, and large subunit ribosomal RNA
Rfam family: 5.8S ribosomal RNA (bases 1-120)
Source: RNAcentral